Molecule: ribosomal RNA, 1504 nt
Filed under: Klebsiella pneumoniae
Lineage: Bacteria; Pseudomonadati; Pseudomonadota; Gammaproteobacteria; Enterobacterales; Enterobacteriaceae
Description: bacterial SSU rRNA
Rfam family: Bacterial small subunit ribosomal RNA
Source: RNAcentral
AGAGUUUGAUCCUGGCUCAGAUUGAACGCUGGCGGCAGGCCUAACACAUGCAAGUCGAGCGGUAGCACAGAGAGCUUGCUCUCGGGUGACGAGCGGCGGACGGGUGAGUAAUGUCUGGGAAACUGCCUGAUGGAGGGGGAUAACUACUGGAAACGGUAGCUAAUACCGCAUAACGUCGCAAGACCAAAGUGGGGGACCUUCGGGCCUCAUGCCAUCAGAUGUGCCCAGAUGGGAUUAGCUAGUAGGUGGGGUAACGGCUCACCUAGGCGACGAUCCCUAGCUGGUCUGAGAGGAUGACCAGCCACACUGGAACUGAGACACGGUCCAGACUCCUACGGGAGGCAGCAGUGGGGAAUAUUGCACAAUGGGCGCAAGCCUGAUGCAGCCAUGCCGCGUGUGUGAAGAAGGCCUUCGGGUUGUAAAGCACUUUCAGCGGGGAGGAAGGCGGUGAGGUUAAUAACCUCAUCGAUUGACGUUACCCGCAGAAGAAGCACCGGCUAACUCCGUGCCAGCAGCCGCGGUAAUACGGAGGGUGCAAGCGUUAAUCGGAAUUACUGGGCGUAAAGCGCACGCAGGCGGUCUGUCAAGUCGGAUGUGAAAUCCCCGGGCUCAACCUGGGAACUGCAUUCGAAACUGGCAGGCUAGAGUCUUGUAGAGGGGGGUAGAAUUCCAGGUGUAGCGGUGAAAUGCGUAGAGAUCUGGAGGAAUACCGGUGGCGAAGGCGGCCCCCUGGACAAAGACUGACGCUCAGGUGCGAAAGCGUGGGGAGCAAACAGGAUUAGAUACCCUGGUAGUCCACGCCGUAAACGAUGUCGAUUUGGAGGUUGUGCCCUUGAGGCGUGGCUUCCGGAGCUAACGCGUUAAAUCGACCGCCUGGGGAGUACGGCCGCAAGGUUAAAACUCAAAUGAAUUGACGGGGGCCCGCACAAGCGGUGGAGCAUGUGGUUUAAUUCGAUGCAACGCGAAGAACCUUACCUGGUCUUGACAUCCACAGAACUUUCCAGAGAUGGAUUGGUGCCUUCGGGAACUGUGAGACAGGUGCUGCAUGGCUGUCGUCAGCUCGUGUUGUGAAAUGUUGGGUUAAGUCCCGCAACGAGCGCAACCCUUAUCCUUUGUUGCCAGCGGUCCGGCCGGGAACUCAAAGGAGACUGCCAGUGAUAAACUGGAGGAAGGUGGGGAUGACGUCAAGUCAUCAUGGCCCUUACGACCAGGGCUACACACGUGCUACAAUGGCAUAUACAAAGAGAAGCGACCUCGCGAGAGCAAGCGGACCUCAUAAAGUAUGUCGUAGUCCGGAUUGGAGUCUGCAACUCGACUCCAUGAAGUCGGAAUCGCUAGUAAUCGUAGAUCAGAAUGCUACGGUGAAUACGUUCCCGGGCCUUGUACACACCGCCCGUCACACCAUGGGAGUGGGUUGCAAAAGAAGUAGGUAGCUUAACCUUCGGGAGGGCGCUUACCACUUUGUGAUUCAUGACUGGGGUGAAGUCGUAACAAGGUAACCGUA